GAUUCGGCUUUGUGGGAUUCUGGAGCACUCGAUUCAAGAGAAAUAAGCAAAAAUAGAGAGAAUCAGCUAAGGAAAGAAAGGAGAGAAAGGUGGAAGGCUUGGGUAGUAGGGGAUUCAAGAGUAAUUGAAGAAAUAUCAAGUGGGUCUCAAGAUUCAAGAAACAUAAGGUAGGGGUUUUUGUGUUUUAAGCUCAUGGUUGGUUAAAUCUAAGCAAAAAUGGUGUGAAUCAUUUUGUGGCAGCUAUAGUGACCAUUGGUAUGAGGAAAUUAUGAAUUUUGUUCGGCGAAAUCCAAGCUAAAAUCAAGUGGUAAGCUUAAUGCUACAAUUUGAAGCUUAUGAUUGGUUUAGUAUUGUGAGAAUGAUUGUAUGCAUAUGUAGUGUUAUUGUGAUGUCAUGGGUAUGGUUGGAAGGCAAUUAUAUUAAUUGGAAGUUUGGUGUGUAGAUAUGUGUUGUUAGGAAAGGUUUAAAAGGUUAUGGAUGUUGGUGUGCAUGAAUGAAUAUUAAUGUUAUGCUUGGUGGCAACAUGUAAAUGAGGAUGGUGGUACAUGUAGACUUAGAA
Molecule: long non-coding RNA, 559 nt
Filed under: Theobroma cacao (cacao)
Lineage: Eukaryota; Viridiplantae; Streptophyta; Magnoliopsida; Malvales; Malvaceae
Description: long non-coding RNA (TCAC_LNC004628)
Source: RNAcentral